GGGGGGCAGGUACAUAGAGUUUGAUCCUGGCUCAAGAACUCGUAACAGGGUGACGCUUGAAUCAUGAUUUACAUUUGAGUGAGUGGCGAACUGGUGAGUAACACGUGGGAAACCUGCCCAGAAGCGGGGGAUAACACCUGGAAACAGAUGCUAAUACCGCAUAACAACUUGGACCGCAUGGUCCGAGUUUGAAAGAUGGCUUCGGCUAUCACUUUUGGAUGGUCCCGCGGCGUAUUAGCUAGAUGGUGAGGUAACGGCUCACCAUGGCAAUGAUACGUAGCCGACCUGAGAGGGUAAUCGGCCACAUUGGGACUGAGACACGGCCCAAACUCCUACGGGAGGCAGCAGUAGGGAAUCUUCCACAAUGGACGAAAGUCUGAUGGAGCAACGCCGCGUGAGUGAAGAAGGGUUUCGGCUCGUAAAACUCUGUUGUUAAAGAAGAACAUAUCUGAGAGUAACUGUUCAGGUAUUGACGGUAUUUAACCAGAAAGCCACGGCUAACUACGUGCCAGCAGCCGCGGUAAUACGUAGGUGGCAAGCGUUGUCCGGAUUUAUUGGGCGUAAAGCGAGCGCAGGCGGUUUUUUAAGUCUGAUGUGAAAGCCUUCGGCUCAACCGAAGAAGUGCAUCGGAAACUGGGAAACUUGAGUGCAGAAGAGGACAGUGGAACUCCAUGUGUAGCGGUGAAAUGCGUAGAUAUAUGGAAGAACACCAGUGGCGAAGGCGGCUGUCUGGUCUGUAACUGACGCUGAGGCUCGAAAGUAUGGGUAGCAAACAGGAUUAGAUACCCUGGUAGUCCAUACCGUAAACGAUGAAUGCUAAGUGUUGGAGGGUUUCCGCCCUUCAGUGCUGCAGCUAACGCAUUAAGCAUUCCGCCUGGGGGAGUACGGCCGCAAGGCUGAAACUCAAAGGAAUUGACGGGGGGCCCGCACAAGCGGUGGAGCAUGUGGUUUAAAUUCGAAGCUACGCGAAGAACCCUUACCAGGUCUUGACAUACUAUGCAAAUCUAAGAAGAUUAGACGUUUCCCUUCGGGGACAUGGAUACGAGGUGGUGCAUGGAUUGUCGUUCAGCUCGUGUCGUGAAAAUGUGGGUUAAGUCCCGCAACGAGCGCAACCCUUAAUUAUUCAUUGCCGCCAUUAAGGUUGGGCACUCUGGGUGAGACUGGCGGUGACAAACCGGAGGAAGGGUGGGGAUGACUUCAAAUCAUAUCAUGCCCUUAUAGUGACUUGGGCUACACACCGUGCUACGAUGGUAUGGUAACAGAAGGUGCGGAACUCUGCUGAGAGAGGAUAGCCUAGAUCUGACUC
Molecule: ribosomal RNA, 1306 nt
Filed under: Lactiplantibacillus pentosus
Lineage: Bacteria; Bacillati; Bacillota; Bacilli; Lactobacillales; Lactobacillaceae
Description: bacterial SSU rRNA
Rfam family: Bacterial small subunit ribosomal RNA
Source: RNAcentral